Rhododendron vialii is the source of this 2001-nucleotide long non-coding RNA. RefSeq lists it as uncharacterized. The transcript has 3 exons. The record is from RefSeq and is a predicted model, not a curated record. NCBI's taxonomy places the organism in Eukaryota, Viridiplantae, Streptophyta, Magnoliopsida, Ericales, Ericaceae.
GAUCAGGUAGCAUUUUUUUUUUUUUUUUCCAUAAUGAGUAUAUCAAGAAAUGCAUCACUGGAUAUCCACCAACUUGCUUUCCAUUUUUUAACACUAGAUAAUGACAACUAAGCAUUUUAAAAUGCAACAGCAUGUGAAAUGUGCAUUUACAAUAUGAUUUCUUCUUCUCAAUCUUCAAAGGUAGUAGGUUUAGUAGGUCCAUGUAUAAACGACCAAUAUAUCUGAAAUGAUCUUGGACCCUUGGUUAAGGAAAACUAGAAUGGGAAGCCAUGUGACACCGACAUAAUCAUGAGCAUAGGACAAACAUUACCAUUAGUUUUUAAGAGAUGCUAGUGACACUGUAAUUGGUGCACCAUAUGCAUUUCUAGUGUCACGAGACUUUCCCAUGGGUUUCUUCUUCUUUUCGAUAAUGCAAAAUUGUUGCGCAAAAGUGAGUAUGUAUAAUAUAUUGGAAGUUCACAAAACAUAUGCAUAUUCCAUUUGACCAGAAUAUGGUGAGGCCAACAACACUCUAGUAAUGACAUGAACCAAGUGUGCACUUGGUUAGCCAAAAGGUUCAUCUGAACUUCACAUAGCAGGGGAAGAAUACAUCUACUGUAACAUAAAUGAAACCAAAAAGACCCUCCAAUGCUUUAUCAGUCAGCUUGAUGGAAACAUAAUUCAGACAAAGAAUCAAUUAACCGAUGUGGAUGACUUACGAGGCCACCGUCAAACACUAGCAGCUCAAAUUGAACAAUCUGUAUUUGUUUAUGAUAACUCUUACGAGGCUCACUGGUCAAGUAGCUUUGUUUUUUCCACAUUGAAUAUAACAAGAAACCAAUCAAUGGAUAAACACAACUUGGUUUGCGUACUUUAUCACAAUAAUGACACCAACAACAUUUUAAAAACCCAAAAGCAUGUGCGAAAUGCGUUUUUACAAUAUGAUUCCCUCUUCUGCUCAUGACCCCCUUCUAAAAGUAGUAGUAGGGUUAGUCUUCUGUAGAAAUAACCAAAAGAUUUGAAACGAUCUUGUUAAUGAAAAACUAAUAUAGUCAGCCAUAUAAUGCUGACAUAAUUAUGAGUAUACGACAAACAUUAAAUUAGUUUUUGAGAGAUCCCAAGGCCCCUGCAAAUGGUGGAUUUGAAUAGUCACAAGACUUGCCCAUAGAUUUCUUCUUUUACUGCUUAAACACUUUUGGAACAACUUGGCCAUGUAGGGGCCAUUAAGCCAGAGGGUAUUGAUCAGUUUUAGCUUUCAAAUAGUGGUUAGCCUUGUUGUAACAAGAGUGAUUGAGCCUAUGAUGGCAGCUACAGAGAGAGACCACAAAGAGGUUUUUCUUUUGGGAGUACGGUCUAGCAAUGGCUGAUGGGUUGUUGCCAUGAGUUUAGCAAAGUGUGCUCAACUGAGCUUCUCUUGUCAUGGUGUCCUUAAGAACAACAGAAGGUAGGGGGAUAAGGUUCAUGACUUCAUGCAUAUCUAACAGUGAAUAAAAGGAAAUGGACACAAACUAAAAAACAUUUGAGAAGAUUGGGACACCAGCAAUUGAUCAUAACAAGCGAAGUUCCAGUUAGAAAUCUUUGACAAUAAAGUUCUAGGUAAAUUUUCACACUAUAUUAGGGACCUCAACCUCAUAGAUAGGAAAGAACACUGCUAUCACUGGUAAGUGGGUAUCCUUUCAAACACGUUACGAAACCGCCACAUUAGUAAUGAAGUACCGAAAGCAAGACUUGGCACUCAACAACAUAGCACAGGGAAGACUUUUCAGGUAUCACACUCAUGCAGAAUUAACAUAUGGUGUUACAAAAAGGAUAUAUAGAAGGCUAUCAAGAUAAAUUAGACAUAUCUUAGGAAAAUCUGCCAGGAAGUCAUUUAGUCUUUUAUUUGACCACGACACUGACAAAUUUUCUUGCUAGAUAAUGGACGAUUCCAUCAGGAAAGUCAAAGCAAAACCUUGUAGCGAGGGGAAAAAGGAUCUUCGUAUGCUAAGUCAAUAACAACCUACAGACCCCAAAUAGAGAGAA